This 64-nucleotide transfer RNA is filed under the name Staphylininae sp. 1 ACP-2013. RNAcentral's name for it is "tRNA-His". Lineage: Eukaryota; Metazoa; Arthropoda; Insecta; Coleoptera; Staphylinidae. The record is from RNAcentral.
UUUAAAUAGUUUAAUAAAAAUAUUGGCUUGUGGAGCUUAAGAUAUACGAAAGUAUUUUAGAUAA